Molecule: ribosomal RNA, 560 nt
Filed under: Trichoderma sp. MKZ-2007b
Lineage: Eukaryota; Fungi; Ascomycota; Sordariomycetes; Hypocreales; Hypocreaceae
Description: eukaryotic LSU rRNA
Rfam family: 5.8S ribosomal RNA (bases 175-328)
Source: RNAcentral
GUGAACGUUACAAACUGUUGCCUCGGCGGGAUCUCUGCCCCGGGUGCGUCGCAGCCCCGGACCAAGGCGCCCGCCGGAGGACCAACCAAAACUCUUAUUGUAUACCCCCUCGCGGGUUUUUUUAUAAUCUGAGCCUUCUCGGCGCCCCUCGUGGGCGUUUCGAAAAUGAAUCAAAACUUUCAACAACGGAUCUCUUGGUUCUGGCAUCGAUGAAGAACGCAGCGAAAUGCGAUAAGUAAUGUGAAUUGCAGAAUUCAGUGAAUCAUCGAAUCUUUGAACGCACAUUGCGCCCGCCAGUAUUCUGGCGGGCAUGCCUGUCCGAGCGUCAUUUCAACCCUCGAACCCCUCCGGGGGGUCGGCGUUGGGGAUCGGCCCUCCCUCUGCGGGGGCCGUCUCCGAAAUCCAGUGGCGGUCUCGCCGCAGCCUCUCCUGCGCAGUAGUUUGCACACUCGCACCGGGAGCGCGGCGCGUCCACAGCCGUUAAACACCCAACUUUCUGAAAUGUUGACCUCGGAUCAGGUAGGAAUACCCGCUGAACUUAAGCAUAUCAAUAAGCGGAG